UGUAGUUUUUAUUCAGUCCACCUUCGUUUAGUAACCAUGGGGACGCAUUUUACAAAGGACUACAUAUCCCAGCUGGCACUGCGACGUUUACGGAAGUGAGCCGUUUAGUUCGACCGUUACAGGAGUUGUGCACUGCCACUUAUAGCAACAUAUCGAUUUGUAUUGCGAACCUGGAAACGAAAGAAAGCUUCUGAAAGUUUUGUUAAAAUGGAAACUUCACUGGAAUCCGACGAAGAUGAAGAGAUGGGUACAUAUCAGAAGAAAUUAAGAGAGCGAGCCAACCGCAGCAUACAGCAGCUGAGCAACAUGCUGGUGAACCAGAGCUGUGACAAUGAAGCCCUGGAUCAAUCGAGCAGUCAGCACAGUUCAUCAGAGAGCUCGAGACAGCAAACACAGCAGAGCGAAGCGGUCAGUCAGCUCCGUUCAUUGCUUCAGAAACAAGCUAAAGAACUCGGCUCUCCUUCUCCUUCCAAAAGGAAGCCUGUUCCAAAGAAACAGGAAGAUGGUGAUAGUUUACCUGAAGUCCAGGAUCUGGUUCCCAUCAUUCACAACCAGUCCGAGUACAUCCAACACCUUGAGGCUGAAGUCAAGUUCUGCAAGGAAGAACUACUUGCGAUGAAGCAACGAGUCAGGGUAGUGAUUGUAGAGAAUGAAAAACUGCAGGAGGAGCUCAAGGCAAAGAUGCUAGAAGACACUCUGAAGGAAUACACUCUGCUGGAUGGCACGGUACAUGCUGAAAACUCAUUAGAUAAAAUUAGCUCGACACCGGCAGCAAAACCAAGACGGGACUUCAUUCAAAAAACAGAUGACAAGAAGUGGGAAAAAGAGCUGGAGCAGUUAAAAUGUUUGUACCAAGCACAGUCUGAGACACUCGAAGCUCAGGUUGUUUCACUGAAGAAGGAAUUGAUGAGUGCUCAGACAGAAUGCGAAGACCUGAAAGAGCGUCUGAGGCACAAGGAAGCGAUGACCGGUGUACCGGGGGCUGGUCAGCGUGUCGGAGGUUUGUGUCUGAAAUGCGCUCAGCAUGAAGCAGUACUGGCAGAAACGCACUCCAACAUUCACAUCCAGGCCAUCGAGCGUCUCACCAAAGAGCGAGACGAGCUGAUGACUGCGCUGUGCUCUCUGAGGGCCAGUCAGAGCGAGGCGCAGCAAAGGGAGUGGGCUGCCUAUCAUCAGGUCAAACAAGCUGUAGAGAUGGCAGAGGAGGCGAACUUGGAGAAGACAAAGGCACAAGUACAGUGUGAGCAUGUUCUCGCUGAACUGGCCAGACAGAGGGAAAGACUGGAGAAGGAACUUGCUUUGGAGCAGGAGAAGAUUGCACAGGCGAGGGAUGCAGCUCGCUCCGAGAGCAAGAGAGAGAAAGAGGAGCUUGCCCAGAUGGUGACCUCCUUGACAUGCAGAGUGGCCGAGCAAGAGGGACUUUUGGAUCGAGGAGACCGAGAGAGGAACUCCCUCAACACUCAGCUAGAGGAGGCCUUUAAGAAGCUCACCGCUCAGGAGACUGACAACAGCCGGACAUGUGGGGAGCUGCGCUACCAGUUAAGUCAGGCCCAGCUUAAGAGAGAAGAGGCUGAGAGGGAAUUACGGGACUCUCGCUCUAACCUGGGCCGGCAGCUCGAGUUAACACAACAGGAAGUGCAGAAGCUGGUUGCAGAGCUGAGUGGCAGCCAGCAGCGUUUGGAGGAGGCCCAGAGGGCAGAGGGCCGAGCUCGGACGGAGGCAGCCGGCCUGGCAGAGGGGCUGAACCGCGCCCAGCGCCAACUGCACCUCACCAGGAAGGAGAAGGAAGCACUGGAGCGGCAUUGUGUGGAGGACAUGGCAGCUCUGACCUUCCAGGCUCAACAGCGCGAGCAUGAGCUGACACAGACGCUCCAGCAAAUGGAAGCGCAGCACGAGAAGAAUGUUGCAGACAUGGAUGUCUUGCUGAGCUUGCAGAAUGGCCUCAUAGGGAAGCUGAAGGAAGAGUGUCGCACGCUUUGCUCAAGAAUGGAAGAGCUGGCCCAGUCUAACAGGGCCGAGGUAGAACAGCUUUCUUUAGAGAAGGAGCACCUGCAGGAGAGUGUGGAGAAGCUUCGAGGUCGCUGUCAUGAGAUGGAGGAACAGUGUGUACAGCAUGGGAGAAUGCACCAGCGCAUGAAACAUAGAUUGCAGCAGCUGGACCAGCACUGUCAGUCCAGCGCUCAGCAGGUGAUGGAGCUGCUCAGCAGACAGAACCAGCUCGUACACGAGAGGCAGUUUGUCACUGAAGAGAUGCACAGGCUGCAUGUACAGUUCCCAGCAGAGAGGAGCGAAACAGCGUGAGGCCGGCUAGUUCCUUCUCUCUCGACGAAGUUAAUCCUCUCACACCGACAGAGCACCAGCGCCGCGGCUUUACUCCCAAAUCAUGAGGGAUUUUCUACAAUGAGGGAGCAGGUCACCGGAUCUGUGCUGGAGCUCUUUUGCAGCCUAAGAAUCAGAGCCUGUGUGACGUUAUGUACCGGACCUCUGUGUUUAAGCACAGCUCCUUGCGCUUCUUCUACUCAUCCCCCAGUUGAGCGCCGACGGUAACAGUUUGAGGCGGUGUCACUGGUCAGGUCUGACUUUUCCCACAAAGAGGGAGGGCGAGCCGGAAAAGUCGGCCUGUCUGAAUGUCACCGAAGCAGAAACUCCUGGCAGUGUCUCACCACAUUCACAGCGUAAUGCUUUACAAAGCAAAAGUACAUUUCUCUUUUUAAAAAAUAAAAAAAAAAACAAGACAAGGAGUGUGUGAAGGGAAUGUGUGCUUUCAAGUCCUUUUUUUUUUCUUCCUAAAGCAGGGACCUUUUAUUUUGUUAUUAGCUGAACUAUAGAAAAAGAGAAAUGGACAUGAAAGUGCUGUUAGACAUAAUUUAAAGCCAUGUUUUGUGACUAUGGAUUUUUAAAAAGUGUAUUGUGUUUUCGGCCUGCAGUGCCAAAGGCCUUGUUUCAGUAGAGCGAUCAGCUACUGACACACAAUCACACACCCCUCGGACAAGAAAAAAAAAACACUGACGUCAGACAACAAAACAAAACAAACAAAACGUGGAACAAUUUUCGAGUUGAAAAAAUGAACCGAAAGUAGGCGUGAACAAGCAGGAGUAUAACCCCGUUCACCUCGCACUAGGUAGCGUCAUGAGGGAAAAGAAAGGAAAAGAAAGCAGAAGGUUGGAAGACAGAAGCUCUUGUGGUUUGCAGUAGCUCAGGAACAACUUUCACCACCACCAACAAAGGCAACCAGUUCAUGCUCAGUAGCAGUGCAGUCACUGCAAUUAUUACCAGAUUAUCUCCUCUGUCCUUUUCUCUCAACAGCAAAGAAACGUGACAUCAAUAUAGCAGUCACACACACACACACACACGUUUACUGUAAACCUGCAUCGACAUGUCUUAAUCUUCUAAUACAGAGGAGUGGCGGUCAAAUCCGACACAGCAAUGUCCUCUUCCUCAUAACAUGUUUUAUCCUUUACACCAUCAUCAUCAUCCUCAAUGUCCUUCGCAUCGUACCAGAUCAUAAACAGUGAACCCACACCGACCUCUCGUUCACUUCAAACUCUUUACACUUAACCACUGCUGGGCUUCUUAAUGCCAGUAAUCACUUUAUCCUUAUCAGCAUCGCGGUCAAUCUGGAGCCGGAGCACCGGGUGUGAUGCUGGAAGAAACUCCAGACACACACAUUCACACCUAAGGGCAAUAUAGAGCAGUCAGUCCGCCUCCUGUCAUGUUUAAAGAAAGCUGUGAACUAUAAGGAACACGACAAAAACACUAAACCCAGUAAUGUGGAGCUGUGACACGGCAAGGUGACCUGCUGUACAUCAUGUGCAUAUAUAUAUACACACACACACACACACACACACACACACACACACCGAUCCGUCUGAACCAUCAGUUUCACAACAUGCAAGUUAAGUUCAAAGACUCACCGAAAAACGUACCACCAUCUUCUCUUGAAAUAAAACGGAGACACAGACAGGAAACACUUAAACUGACAAGGAUCAUGGAAUGUAGUAUAGAUUUUAAACACAAAACACUCAGAAAGACAUAAAACACUUAGAUUUUUGGUCUGACCAACUCAGAGAGUUACAGCUCUCCGACGUCCAUCACGUCUUCACACCUGACAUCACUCGUGUGUACUGACAUCUGAAUUUCUCACACGUCACACCAAACUGUACAUUAGGCUCAUAGCUGCUGCUGCUGCUGAUCAUAGAUCACAUGACCGCCUUCUGCACAACUCUUUAUGGGCUGCUUUACCAAUCUCCGGCUGAUUCCCAAUCUCACCUCACCUGCUUAAUUAACAGCAACCGACAGGAGACGAGAGCUAGAACAAAAAGAGAGCACUGGCCACGUGGGGGAACUUAAGCAAGCUCUGUGUUCUGACUAUCACUAGUUUCAGGCUGCUCAGUGCUUAAGCUGCGUUCUUUAUCUUCUGCAGUGGUAUUUGUGGUCACCAGGUUGUGCAGCAAUACAGACACAACACAGAAAGUCUCUGUGCAAACAAACAAGCAAUGCUGAAGAAGUGAAGAGGCUCCUGAAAAUGUCGUCUUCACCGUAACUUGUUCAAAAUAACAAAAUAAAAAAAAACUUAAAUAGAAAAACAAAAUGUUUGCUUUGCCUGAUUUACAUUCUGAAGCCAUUUUAGGUGCGUUUGUGUCCAAUUCCUGACAGCACUCGUUAGAAGUAACACAAAUCAGGAAAAAAAAAUAAAUAGGAUCAUUUUAUUUAACUACAUUCUCUAACCUAACACACAAAUACAGAUACAAACACUCGGUACUCCGUCAGGUGAUGUGAGCUUCACCGAUUACAGCCAACUGCACUGAGCUCGCAGUGGGUUUGUACUUUAUAUCAGUGGAAGAGAACGUUUGUUGUUUAUAUCAGUCGUGUUAGGAGUUCCUGACGGCGUCGCUUAGAGCUGCUGUAGUGAAUGCAAUUCCUUCAUUCCCUCCACUCUUACUCCUCUGUCAUUUCACCAUCAGGAGGAAAAGGGAAUGACAGAAAAGGGAACGAGCUGCGAGCUAAUCUUCGGAAAGUGGUCAACACCGUACAGGCUGGAUCAGACUGUCGUCGAGACUCGAGGCUUUUCUGAGCCGAACAGAUAAAGUAUCAGGAGGUACAGUGCUGUAUGGCUCAGAUUUACAGAACUGUUCAGCUCAAAACAUCAAGAACAGAAAGAAUGCGCGCGCGCACACACACACACACACUCUUCCCCUGUUCCGUCUUCCCCUUUCUUAUCCCCAUCAACCCGUUUGCUGAGUAGGUAAAAGAAAGCAAAGUACUGCAGUUCCACAGUGAGAGAGAAAUGCUAGCUGAGCAUUUGAACACAGCAGAUGCUGACAUACGUUACUGGAGGUUGUGUGUCGCAGUGCUGAUUUUGUACGCUAGCGUGAGUGCCAGUGGUGCGAGUGGCCUAGGAUCAGUGAGCGACUAUUAGUGAAGCUUGUUUACUGAACUCAACACUUGUGCAGCCUGAGUAUACUGUUAUGGCAGUUUUGGACACA
Molecule: RNA transcript, 5486 nt
Organism: Tachysurus fulvidraco (yellow catfish)
Lineage: Eukaryota; Metazoa; Chordata; Actinopteri; Siluriformes; Bagridae
Gene: sdccag8
Gene name: SHH signaling and ciliogenesis regulator sdccag8
Exons: 19
Source: RefSeq, a predicted model, not a curated record